Long non-coding RNA from Felis catus (domestic cat), 1829 nucleotides. RefSeq lists it as uncharacterized. Lineage: Eukaryota; Metazoa; Chordata; Mammalia; Carnivora; Felidae. The transcript is spliced from 7 exons. The record is from RefSeq and is a predicted model, not a curated record.
UGAUCUGUAGUUUUAACAAGCUCCUCAGGUGAUUCUGAUACACAGCAAAGUCUGAGCACCACUGGCUGAGAGCACAUCUCCAGAGGAGAAAGCUGUGAUCCCUUAGCAGCUGAUCUCAAGCAGUGUUGGUUCAACAGCCCUGUGACAGGAAUCAACGUGGUCUGCCCACAGCACCCUCUACGUGUGUCGUAUGCUUCGGUUGUACGACAAUACCAUGUCUCACUCUACUUCGUUCAAGUGUCAAAUGCCACCUUACUAGAGAGAGACUCCUUCCUUGAGUUUUGUAUGCCUUCUUGCAAAGCAAAUUCUACACCUCAUUUCACCUACAUUUGCCCAAGCACAGAAAGGGUGAGUCAGGGAGAUGGGCAGAGGGAGAGAGACAAAGAAUCCCAAGAAUUCAGUGCUAUAUUGAAUAGGAGUGGUAAUGGCAGAGAGAACCGCCUUCUUUUUCAAAGAUAGAGGAGGACUUGUUCAGCAAGAGGAAAAGACAGCAUAGCAGUCUCUGAAGGGCCACGUUGAGUGUGCCUGUGAUUGCUGCUCCUAUCAAUUGUUGUCCUGUCACCAGAAGAUGCCAAAGAAACACAACAUGUGCAUGUCACAGGGAGAGUAAGUUUAAAGCAGAAGCUAACCUAACUGCCUGGAAAAAACAUCUUCAAAAGAGAAGAUCAUUUCAUUUAUACGUUUUGUGGUCUGAAAGUCCAAAAGGACCAGUGCUUAUUUUCCUCAGUCUGCUGCAGGUGACCUUAGUAGAAAAGUCAGAGCGCUACCUCCAUCUCUGUCUGCCAUGUGAGAACACAAGGAGAACUCAGAAGUCUACAGAUAAAAAAAGAAGUCACCAUGCUGACAACCUGAUAUCUGAGUUCCAGCCUCCACAACUUGAGAAGUACUUUCUGUUCAUUCUCCAAAACAUACUCAGUCAAAAUUCUAGGAAGCUGUUGUAUAGCUAUCAACAAAUUAUCAGUUUUUAUGGAAAGACAAAUGACCUAGAGUAGAAAACACAACACUGAAGAUGUUCGAAAAUUCACAGAACACAAUUUUUAAAUACUCACUAUAAAGCUAUGCUAAUCAAUCCAGUGUGAUAUUGGCUACAGAAGAGAUCAGUGGAAUAAAAGAACUAUCUCAGUUAAAGACCCAUGCAAAUAUAAUCAACUAUUUUGACAAAGGAGCAAAAGCAAUUAACUGAAUAAAGAAUUGUCUUUCACAAAACUGGAGAGUGACAUGGUGAUGUAAAUUAUUCCUGAUUUUGCUCCAUCUCACAAGAACAAAAACCAACAACUAUUCAAGAACAAAACACCACAAGGACAAUCCUAGAACAUGGCGUGAGGCUGAAGACAUGGCUCUGCACCAUAAAAACCAAGACAAACUGCAUUAGAAGGGUAAGAGAAGAGGCCAGAGGUUGACCCCAUUGCCCCUCCCCACAGGCUAGUGCCACACCACAUGGAAAGAUCUCCCCUGAGCCUCCAGUUCCUCAAGAGGGAAAAAAGAGCCAGAAAGGACAACCACCCUGAGCAUUGUGACUCAUUUCAUAGAAGCCCCUACUCUAAUUUCACAUCACAGGGUUUGCAGGGAAAUCUUUGGCCUCAACCAUUGGAAAUCUGACUGAUAGAGCAGGGGGUGAGUGCUUGCAAAAACUUGCACAGGACCUUGGCAGACCAAAUCCAUACCUAUAGUGCCCAAGUAGUAAUCUCAACCAUUGGCUUUGCUAAUAUGCAAAAACAAAUAGCACACUGUGGGGCUCCUGGGUGGCUCAGUUGGUUAAGCAUCUGACUUCGGCUCAGGUCAUGAUCUCGAGGUUCAUGAGUUCAAGCCCCAGGUCAGGCUUUGGGUUG